RNAcentral lists this small RNA (26 nucleotides) under Bombyx mori (domestic silkworm). Its description in RNAcentral is "piRNA piR-bmo-2236398". Lineage: Eukaryota; Metazoa; Arthropoda; Insecta; Lepidoptera; Bombycidae. The record is from RNAcentral.
UAGUUGAGCGUAUAUACGGUGUGGAG